This 418-nucleotide ribosomal RNA is filed under the name Buccinum tsubai. RNAcentral describes it as "partial 16S rRNA". It matches the Rfam family "Bacterial large subunit ribosomal RNA", at positions 1966 to 2597 of the family's 2925-position model. The record is from RNAcentral. Lineage: Eukaryota; Metazoa; Mollusca; Gastropoda; Neogastropoda; Buccinidae.
CAUUUGCCUUAUAAUUGAAGGCUAGUAUGAAUGGUUUGACAAGAAUGUAGCUGUCUCUUUAUAAUUAAACAGAAUUUUAUUUAUAGGUGAAGAAGCCUAUAUCAAAUUAAAAGACAAGAAGACCCUAUCGAGCUUUAAAUAAAUUAGUAGACUAAAUAAUUAAUGGUAUCAGAAAAUUAACUAUUAGAAAUUUUAGUUGGGGCGACUGAGGAACAAAAAAAGCUUCCUUUAAAAAUUAAAAACUAAACAAGUAUGAUCCAAACAUUUUGAUUAAAGGAAUUAGUUACCGUAGGGAUAACAGCAUUAUCUUUUUUAAGAGCUCUUAUCGAAAAAAAGGUUUGUGACCUCGAUGUUGGACCAGAAUAUCCUAAAGAUGCAGGAGUCUUUAAGGGUUGGUCUGUUCGACCAUUAAAAUUCU